AAGGGCUGACUCAUUGGAAAAGACCCUGAUGCUGGGAAAGAUUGAGGGCAGGAGGAGAAGGGGACGACAGAGGAUGAGAUGGUUGAAUGGCAUCACUGACAUGAUGGACAUGAGUUUGGGAAGACUCCAGGAGUUGGUGAUGGACAGGGAAGCUUGGCGUGCUG
Molecule: long non-coding RNA, 164 nt
Organism: Cervus elaphus (red deer)
Lineage: Eukaryota; Metazoa; Chordata; Mammalia; Artiodactyla; Cervidae
Exons: 4
Source: RefSeq, a predicted model, not a curated record